GAAACCUUAUGUAUGUAAUCAGUGCGGUAAAGCCUUUGCACGUCAGAGUCUUCUUCAAAUACAUGAAAGAAGUCACACUGGAGAGAAACCUUAUGCGUGUAAUCAGUGCAGUAAGGCCUUUGUAUGUCGUAGUAGUCUUCAAAUGCAUGAAAGAACUCAUACUGGAGAGAAACCUUAUGAAUGUAAUCAGUGUGGCAAAGCCUUCACACGUCGCAGUCUUCUCCAGAAACAUGAAAGAAGUCAUAGUGGAGAGAAACCUUAUGAGUGUAAUCAGUGUGGUAAAGCCUUUGCAAGUCGUAGUAGUCUUCGAAAUCAUGAAAAACAUCAUACUAUUGAGAAACCUAAUGAAUAUAAUCAGUGUGCUAAAGCGUUUACAUCUCUCCUGCCAUCUUCAAAUAUAUGAAAGAAACCACACUGGAAAGAA
This 424-nucleotide long non-coding RNA is filed under the name Rattus norvegicus (Norway rat). Its description in RNAcentral is "long non-coding RNA NONRATT026422". The record is from RNAcentral. Lineage: Eukaryota; Metazoa; Chordata; Mammalia; Rodentia; Muridae.